RNAcentral lists this ribosomal RNA (468 nucleotides) under uncultured bacterium. RNAcentral describes it as "partial 16S ribosomal RNA". It matches the Rfam family "Bacterial small subunit ribosomal RNA", at positions 28 to 507 of the family's 1533-position model. The record is from RNAcentral.
GACGAACGCUGGCGGCGUGCUUAACACAUGCAAGUCGAACGGAAAGGCCCUGCUGUUGUGGGGUGCUCGAGUGGCGAACGGGUGAGUAACACGUGAGUAACCAGCCCUUGACUUUGGGAUAACUUCAGGAAACUGGGGCGAAUACCGGAUAUGAGCUCCUGCUGCAUGGUGGGGGUUGGAAAGGUUCGGCGGUUGGGGAUGGAAUCGCGGCUUAUCAGCUUGCUGGUGGGGUAGUGGCUUACCAAGGCUUUGACGGGUAGCCGGCCUGAGAGGGUGACCGGCCACAUUGGGACUGAGAUACGGCCCAGACUCCUACGGGAGGCAGCAGUGGGGAAUAUUGCACAAUGGGCGGAAGCCUGAUGCAGCAACGCCGCGUGCGGGAUGACGGCCUUCGGGUUGUAAACCGCUUUCGCCUGUGACGAAGCGUGAGUGACGGUAAUGGGUAAAGAAGCACCGGCUAACUACGUG